Molecule: long non-coding RNA, 1670 nt
Organism: Perca flavescens (yellow perch)
Lineage: Eukaryota; Metazoa; Chordata; Actinopteri; Perciformes; Percidae
Exons: 5
Source: RefSeq, a predicted model, not a curated record
AAUUCCCUUUGUUUGCUGCAGCGUGUUGGUCCAUGUGCUUCUCCAGCUGAUUUUGCACCAGAUGCAUUAUUUGAAUUGGUCUUCAAGCAAUGUUUGAACCAGGUCCACAAAUGCUGACUUUGAAGUCUCCACCUCUCCAUCUGGGUCCUGUCAUAAAGCCCAGGCAAUGGUCCGAGGAGAGAACACUGCUGUAGCGCGUCUUCACAACAAUCACAAAGUGCCUUGUUUGCCCUCUCCCUGAUCCAUUAUUUGAUCCUGAUCUUCAGAUGUCGCUGAAGUCUGUUUAGAGGCGAGCGUGGAGAGGAUGGUGUCUGACAUGAAGAUUGGUCUUCAAGCAAUGUUUGAACCAGGUCCACAAAUGCUGACUUUGAAGUCUCCACCUCUCCAUCUGGGUCCUGUCAUAAAGCCCAGGUUUAUUUACAUGCAUUCAUUAUCAGUUUUACAUUUAAAUGUCUCUUCUACUUAUUAACAGCUUAUAAAUGUCUGCAUCUGAUGGUAAAAAUAACUAUUUCAGGGUAAGUAGCAAAACCUAAAGACUAUUGUCUGUCCUCUGGCAGAAAGAUCUGUUUGACAUCUAAAGCUACUGAGACAUUGUGUCUUCAUGUAAAAUAUCCUGUCAUCAGCAUUACCCACCUCUUCCUGCAUGAGGUUUGUUGUCGUCUGUUGGAAACUGUUAAGAUGAUCCUGGAUAGCUUUACAGUCAACCUCAUCCAUUGUCUUUAAUAACUCAAGGAUGAGCUGAAAAACACAAAAUCAAAACAUCAUGCUUAACUUUCAAAAUUAUACUUUGACAACUAGACAAUGGAUGUAUUUACUUAGGCCUUGAGAAGGCCACCCAUAGAAAUAAAAUGUAUGUCAUUUCUUGACUCCAUUUUGACUGCUUGAUAAUACAAGACAAAAGAACAGUGAAAGAUGCCCACAAAUAGUCUGAAUAAUACCUCCAUUCACUAACCCGAGCUCUCAGUCCCAGGAUCAGCUGAGUCUUCUGUUUGUAGUUCAGAAGCUCUGGGACCAUCUCUGUCACCAACGUGAUGAAUUCGGCCAGUUUGUCAUACUGGUCUACAUUCCGCUCCUGGGCCACCUGCCACAUACAGGCUGACAUCAACCUCAGAGGAGGAACCAGGAGGCGCACGGAUGACAGAGGGAGAUGAGGAUCUAACAGUAGAUGCAUGCAGAGAAACAGAUAAACAGCGGUUAUUAACCAGUCUCAAAUCCUGGACUAUAUGCACAAUAAUAUUAUGAGUUGUAUUACAUCUUCUGACACAUUGAACCACACCCUGCUCUAGAAUAGGGACAUCCAUUUCAGAAACUAUAGUAAAUAGGAUACAUGUUGUAGACAGGGUUGGGUAGUAACGGAAUACAUGUCAUCACAAUUACAUAAUCAGAUUAAAAAAUAUGUAAAUAUAAUUAGCUCAGACUACAUUUGAAAAAAAAAAUGUGCAAUUAGAUUUUAGUCAAAUAGUUAAUGUUUACUUAAUUACAUAUGGCAAUUUUAAAAUUAUGAAACUUUCCAUUAAUUCUGCCAGCAUGUUUUUGUAAGUCAAAUUUGAUUUGAAUUCUAAAUGCCAAAUAUGUUCUACUGUUUAUCAAUAUAAACUACUCCUCAGGUUGCCAGUUUAGUUAAUGGUGAUUAUUUAAAGGGGUGAUAGAAUGCAAAACCGAUUUUACCC